UCUAAUAUGGCAGAAAAGUGCAGUGGAUUUAAGCUCCUCAUAUGAAGUGUUAACUUUUAUUAGAA
This 65-nucleotide transfer RNA is filed under the name Beybienkoa kurandanensis. RNAcentral's name for it is "tRNA-Leu". The record is from RNAcentral. Lineage: Eukaryota; Metazoa; Arthropoda; Insecta; Blattodea; Blattellidae.